RNAcentral lists this ribosomal RNA (493 nucleotides) under uncultured Streptococcus sp. Its description in RNAcentral is "partial 16S ribosomal RNA". The record is from RNAcentral. Lineage: Bacteria; Bacillati; Bacillota; Bacilli; Lactobacillales; Streptococcaceae.
CACGUAGUUAGCCGUCCCUUUCUGGUAAGCUACCGUCACAGUGUGAACUUUCCACUCUCACACCCGUUCUUGACUUACAACAGAGCUUUACGAUCCGAAAACCUUCUUCACUCACGCGGUGUUGCUCGGUCAGGGUUGCCCCCAUUGCCGAAGAUUCCCUACUGCUGCCUCCCGUAGGAGUCUGGGCCGUGUCUCAGUCCCAGUGUGGCCGAUCACCCUCUCAGGUCGGCUAUGUAUCGUCGCCUAGGUGAGCCAUUACCUCACCUACUAGCUAAUACAACGCAGGUCCAUCUUGUAGUGGAGCAAUUGCCCCUUUCAAAUAAAUGACAUGUGUCAUCCAUUGUUAUGCGGUAUUAGCUAUCGUUUCCAAUAGUUAUCCCCCGCUACAAGGCAGGUUACCUACGCGUUACUCACCCGUUCGCAACUCAUCCAAGAAGAGCAAGCUCCUCUCUUCAGCGUUCUACUUGCAUGUAUUAGGCACGCCGCCAGCGUG